CGGUAGGGCGGGUGCUACACAUGCAGUCGAACGAGAAAGCGGGGGCAACCCCGUGAGUACAGUGGCGAACGGGUGAGUAACACGUGACUAACCUGCCUUCGAGCGGGGGAUAACCCCGGGAAACCGGGGCUAACACCGCAUAACAUCCCAAGGUGAAACUCCUUGUGAUCAAAUGCGCAAGCAGCUGGAAGAGGGGGUCGCGCCUGAUUAGCUAGUUGGUGAGGUAACGGCUCACCAAGGCGAUGAUCAGUAGCCGGCCUGAGAGGGCGCACGGCCACACUGGAACUGAAACACGGUCCAGACUCCUACGGGAGGCAGCAGUGGGGAAUUUUGCGCAAUGGGGGAAACCCUGACGCAGCAACGCCGCGUGGAGGAUGAAGUCCCUUGGGACGUAAACUCCUUUCGACCGGGACGAAUAAAUGACGGUACCGGUGGAAGAAGCCCCGGCUAACUUCGUGCCAGCAGCCGCGGUAAUACGGAGGGUGCGAGCGUUGUCCGGAAUCACUGGGCGUAAAGGGUGCGUAGGCGGUUCGGUAAGUUGCUGGUGAAAUCCCGGGGCUCAACUCCGGGGCUGCCGGCAAGACUGUCGGACUCGAGCACGGUAGGGGCAGAUGGAAUUCCCGGUGUAGCGGUGGAAUGCGUAGAUAUCGGGAAGAAUACCAGUGGCGAAGGCGUUCUGCUGGCCGUUGCUGACGCUGAGGCACGACAGCGUGGGAGCAAACAGGAUUAGAUACCCUGGUAGUCACGCGUAACGAUGGGCACUAGCGUCGGGGGAGCGAACCCUCCGUGGCGUCGCUAACGCAGUAAGUGUCCCGCCUGGGAUACGGCGCAAGCUGAACCAAGGAUGCGGGGCCGCCAGCGUGAGUGUGGUUAUCACCACGGAAGAACUACUGUGAAGCGAUGGAUUCGGUGUAACUCGGCUCCUUAAAGCUUCGAGGCUCAUGCUCCAGCUGUCUGGAGUGGUUAGUCGAAGGUCCAACGAUGCAUUUAACGGAACUUGACGCGGACUGGAUGCGUAUCGUCUAGGCAUAACGUACUGUCAUGGCUACGGU
Molecule: ribosomal RNA, 1052 nt
Filed under: uncultured bacterium
Lineage: Bacteria
Description: bacterial SSU rRNA
Rfam family: Bacterial small subunit ribosomal RNA (bases 1-817)
Source: RNAcentral